Molecule: small nucleolar RNA, 92 nt
Organism: Nematolebias whitei (Rio pearlfish)
Lineage: Eukaryota; Metazoa; Chordata; Actinopteri; Cyprinodontiformes; Rivulidae
Source: RefSeq, a predicted model, not a curated record
AUUCUCUGCUGAUGACUGGCACUGGGCUCUGAGUCCUCCUGGAGACAGAUGUGCACCUUCGGCCCUGACAAGCUGAAGUUUCUGAGGAGAAA